AUGUUUCUGCUUCCAGUAAUUCAAGUCAAUGUGGCAGAUUAUAUUUUCCAAACAUAUGGUAGUAGAGCUGGUGGAAUGAGAGAGAUUUUUGCAGCGAUCUCAGGAAAAUACAGUCUGAUGUGGUCAGAUAUUUUCUUCCUUUUUGUCUGGCCUGGAACUGGACUUCAUUGCACUGAACUGAGGACUGGUUUCACCUGGCCUCCAAGAAGAGUGCCAGCCAUGUGAUACCAUCUCCUACCCAGAGGAAAUCCUGAGCUCUUCUAGAUGAAGAAAGGAAUCUCAGAUGAAGGUUGAGGACACUUUUUUUUUUGAUAGGUAUAGGAGGGAACACUUGAUCUGAAAAACUUCAGCUCUGUCAGUAUGACCUUAGUUUGGAACCACAAGCUGUUGAGACACUGUGAGCAGUAUAGCAUAUAUGGAAAAUAAACUGACCAGAUUGUAGAGAUGCCUAAAUACCAGACUAAGGGAAGCAUUAUCCUAUAGUUACUUUAAAGUUACUUGAAUAAGCAAAUUCUAAUGCACACCAAAACUUUUCAAAUUAUCAAAUAUGUUGUAAAUGUGAAUGUUUGAGAACAGAUAUUUUUAAAUGGCUCACCUUUGAAAUCAAUUGAUAUAAAUGAGUUACUGAAUAAUGUACAACCAAGUACUCACAAGAGGUUAAAUUUUAAGUAAUCAAUACACAUUCACUAGGAUGGAUUUUAAAAAUAAAAGCUUUAAAACUACCAAAAGAAAGUGACUAGAAUUAUCCAGGAAUGUAAUUUGCCAGUCUUUUCUGAGGAUUUUUUGAUAAUAUACAGUAUAUCUUAACAUAUCAUAAGCAAUAAACUAGCAACUUCGAGUGUAGGAAAUACUAAACCAAAUAAAGAUGUAUAAAUAUGUGCACCAAUAAACAUGUACAAAAAUGUUCAUAGUGGUAUUGUUAAUAGUAAUGUGAUACCAGAACAAUCUAAAGGUGAAUAAUAAUAGAAAAAAAAUACAUUGUGGUAUAUUUAUAUAAUGAAAUGAUAUAAGGUAAUGAAAAGAAUCAAACUAAUGCCACAUAUUAUAUGGAUGUCACUGAAAUAAUGUCGAAUGAAAGAAGCCAGACAUAACAGUGAAUGCUACGAAAUGGAGAUUCAUUGUAAAAAUCCACAUUCUAUAAAAAGACACCUGGUACUUCGGCCUUUGAUUAAAGACAAACAAAUAUUGUAAACAGGCAUAAAUGAGGUGAUAUGCCCAACAUCUUUCAAAUUGCAUAAUAUAUUGUGAGCAAUUUCCUGUGUGAUGUACUCAAGGCCUAAAAUAAUAAACAAGAGAGUCUACAAAAUGCAGUGAUAGAGCAAAUUCUUACAAGCAUUUAGAUUCUCUUAUAACCUGAAAUUGAUUAAAUAAUACAACACAGGCAUUAUCUUGGGUCAUAUUUUGGAAGAAAUAGCUUUCCCGUUGAGCUCAUAAAGUAAAAUUUACACAUCCAUACAUGUUAUCAAAUGAAUUACAUACGAGUUCAAAAUAUCUGGUCACCAAUAAUGUACCUACUUGAUGCUGUUUUUGGAUAUUCACAAUGUAUACCAAUAUUUUUGGAAGUUUAUAUUAUAUCCAUUCUAGAAAGAUAUUUUGAAAAAAAUUAUUGCUCAUAACCAAUUCUGCAAUUCAUCUACCUUUUAGAUUAUUGCUGAAAUAGUCAUAACUUAGGAAAUAAUAAAUAAUGUGGUCUAUGUAUUAACUAAAUAUCAUAAAGCUUAAAAACUGAAUUAAUUUGAAAAGAGUAAGAGUAACAUCCCCCUUUCCUCUCUGUUGCAAGCAAAUGCAACUCAGGGGAAAAAAACUCAAGAGGUUCUUGAAUAGGUAAAAAAAAAUUACUUAAUUUUGUUGUGGAAACAUUUUAUUUUCUCCUUCAACUUUUGGGGAAAAUGCGGAAAUUAUUCAUUUUUCAAAUUAUUGACAUUGAACCCA
Pan troglodytes (chimpanzee) is the source of this 1932-nucleotide long non-coding RNA. The record is from Ensembl. Lineage: Eukaryota; Metazoa; Chordata; Mammalia; Primates; Hominidae.